Molecule: ribosomal RNA, 622 nt
Filed under: uncultured bacterium
Lineage: Bacteria
Description: bacterial SSU rRNA
Rfam family: Bacterial small subunit ribosomal RNA
Source: RNAcentral
AUUUGCCUCUAGGAGGGGGACAACAGCUGGAAACGGCUGCUAAUACCCCAUAUGCUUUCGAGUGAAAUGAUUUUUUCGCCUGGAGAGAAGCUCGCGGCUGAUUAGCUUGUUGGUAAGGUAAUGGCUUACCAAGGCGACGAUCAGUAUCUGGUUUGAGAGGACGAUCAGACACACUGGAACUGAGACACGGUCCAGACUCCUACGGGAGGCAGCAGUAGGGAAUUUUCCGCAAUGGGCGAAAGCCUGACGGAGCAAUACCGCGUGAGGGAAGACUGCCUAUGGGUUGUAAACCUCUUUUUUCAGGGAGGAAUUCAAUGACGUGUACCUGAAGAAUAAGCAUCGGCUAACUCCGUGCCAGCAGCCGCGGUAAGACGGAGGAUGCAAGUGUUAUCCGGAAUCACUGGGCGUAAAGCGUCUGUCGGUGGUUGGACAAGUCAACUGUUAAAUCUUGAGGCUCAACCUCAAAAUCGCAGUCGAAACUGUUUGACUAGAGUAUAGUAGGGGUAAAGGGAAUUUCCAGUGGAGCGGUGAAAUGCGUAGAUAUUGGAAAGAACACCGAUGGCGAAGGCACAUUACUGGGCUAUUACUGACACUCAGAGACGAAAGCUAGGGUAGCAAAUGG